Non-coding RNA from Cricetulus griseus (Chinese hamster), 391 nucleotides. The record is from RefSeq and is a predicted model, not a curated record. Lineage: Eukaryota; Metazoa; Chordata; Mammalia; Rodentia; Cricetidae.
CACGAUUGCUUUGUUAAAAUUUAGCAACAGUAUGGUCAAGUUUACAGGCAGGAUCCAGAAAGGAAACCCUAGUUUGCAAAGAUUUAUGACUUUCAGGAAUGUUCCGGAAGGCUGGUCCAGAUGGCAAAGUGCUGGAGAUAAAAGGGUCUUUCCCCUGUGGGCUCACACUGGAGCUAGGAAAGCAGGAUGGCGGGAGGAAGAAGGGAGCACGUGACUGCCAGCCUGAGGAAGACCUUUGGAAUGACAGACGAAAGUUUGAUCUCUCUACUUUGUGCUUCUGGUUGAAGAUGAGAGCUCUCAGCUUCCUGCCCUGGCCACCAUGUCUGUAGCUCGCUGCCAAGCUUCCCUUCUCCCUCCACGCCCAUGAUUGACACAUCAUGCUAGAACUGUA